This 452-nucleotide small RNA is filed under the name Pongo abelii (Sumatran orangutan). RNAcentral's name for it is "retained intron". The record is from RNAcentral. Lineage: Eukaryota; Metazoa; Chordata; Mammalia; Primates; Hominidae.
UCAGGCCUUUGGGUGAAGGUAGGGUUAGGGGGUGCAGGCUGGAUCCUCAUGUAAGGUAUAAAGAAGUCAGUUGGUCCAGAGCCCGGGCCUCAGGUCUCCAGUUUGAAGACUUUCAUGUCUCUCUCCUUCCUCACAGGUGCCCUUUGGGGAAGUAAGCAUGGUCCGGGACUGGUUGGGCAUUGUGGGGCCUGUGCUGACCCCUCCCCAAGAGCAUCCUAAACGACCAGUGCUGGGACUGGAGUGCCCACAGUCAGAAGGACCAAGACAAAGCAUGGGACGUGAAAUUAAGAGUGAACUUCUUAUGGGAGGCUGCAGCUGGAUCAGAAGAAAAAUCCAUUGUGGCAGAGUGAAAGCCAGAAGACCUGGCUUUUCAUCCCAGCUUUGGAGACUUGGAACUUUUUGAUUGACAAAUUAAUAAACCUCUCUAUGCCUCAGGCUCCUCAUCUGUAAAA